RNAcentral lists this transfer RNA (68 nucleotides) under Marmota monax (woodchuck). RNAcentral describes it as "tRNA.Ala". Lineage: Eukaryota; Metazoa; Chordata; Mammalia; Rodentia; Sciuridae. The record is from RNAcentral.
GGAUCAUGGCUCAGUGGUAAAGUGCUCGCCUAGCACGUGUGAGGCCCUGGGUUCAAUCCUCAGCACCA